RNAcentral lists this ribosomal RNA (105 nucleotides) under uncultured bacterium. RNAcentral describes it as "partial 16S ribosomal RNA". It matches the Rfam family "Bacterial small subunit ribosomal RNA", at positions 1378 to 1482 of the family's 1533-position model. The record is from RNAcentral.
CCGUUGUACACACCGCCCGUCACACCAUGGAAGUUGGUUGCACCAGAAGUAGGUAGCCUAACCGCAAGGAGGGCGAUUACCACGGCAGGGUUCGUGACUGGGGUG